GAGAGAGAGAGAGAGAGAGGAAGACAUAAAUAUUUACAGAGGAUUUCAUUAUUUGUUUCGGAUAAAUCGAAAUUGAAGGGCGAGUGAAAAAUCAAGCAGAUUCAACUGACUUUGGAGAGAGAUCUGAGGUGUGAGAGGCGUCGGCCGAUGCGGCGGCGGACUUGGACUGCCUGCUCCAGGGCAACGAAUUCGAACGGUGAAGCCGGCACCGGAAGGAACCGAGAUGAGUCGUGGGUGAGCAGAGGCAUUGGCCUUUCGAUGAACAGGAGUGCGCCGCCACGCCGUCUCCCUCGCCGGCGCUUUUGGCGGAGGAAGGGAUGCUGAUGCUCAUUUUGCCGUGGGAUGCCA
This 348-nucleotide unclassified non-coding RNA is filed under the name Hevea brasiliensis (rubber tree). Lineage: Eukaryota; Viridiplantae; Streptophyta; Magnoliopsida; Malpighiales; Euphorbiaceae. The record is from RNAcentral.